CGACCUUUGAAAAAAGUAAGUACACUAUAAUAACUAAAAAUUAUCAUUCUUUACCAGCAUUGUUCAGUCAUUCCAAGGUUAAAAACCAUGAAGAAAGACUUCCCAUUCAGUACUUGACAACUCUUCACAACUCCCUCAGGCCAACUGCCAAAUUAACAACUUAAGGGGAAGUUCACACAUUAGCAAACAUGGUAAAAUAACUGAAAGUGAAAAUCCCUCCCUCAAAGGAACACAAAAGGGAGAAGACAACAAAUAGCUGGAGACGGCAAUCUCAAGUAAACCCGCUUGUCAUAUCAGGAAUGGUGUAUACAUGUUCAACUUGUACAAAAGACGUGCAAUGUUUCUAUUUUCCAAUUCCAAGUUCUUUUUCAAUGUCUCUUGUAAGGCUAAAUUGUGCAGUGUUGUGCCAUGGGAACAAUGUACGAGUAACGGGAAGCUUCCUCCGCAAGUCCUUGAAAGUGGUAUCAGGCAAUUUCAAGUAAGAUGUCUGAAGAGAAGCCAGAUACUCAGUCUCAUGGUGGCGAAUAAUGUUGACCAGGGAAAAUGCAGAAUCAUCUGGGGACUGAAUUAGCGUUGUAUCCUUACAUUCGUGUUUUGCAUCUAGCUGUACAUUUCCCUCUUCAAAGUAAUGGGCGCCAACCUGCAUCUCGCCUCUCACUUCUACAGAUUGAAUUUCAUCCUUAAAUUCAAUAUUCCAUAUUGAUCGCCAGCUUCCAUUGCA
Molecule: unclassified non-coding RNA, 721 nt
Filed under: Hevea brasiliensis (rubber tree)
Lineage: Eukaryota; Viridiplantae; Streptophyta; Magnoliopsida; Malpighiales; Euphorbiaceae
Source: RNAcentral